This is a long non-coding RNA of Marmota monax (woodchuck), 2143 nucleotides long. RefSeq lists it as uncharacterized. NCBI's taxonomy places the organism in Eukaryota, Metazoa, Chordata, Mammalia, Rodentia, Sciuridae. The transcript is spliced from 3 exons. The record is from RefSeq and is a predicted model, not a curated record.
CGGGCCAACACGAACAGGUGCAGGAGUGCACGCCCCCUGUACCCCACCAUUGCAAUCUGAGCAACUUUGCGCAAAUGCCAAAGAUGCUGAAAAGCAGGAAAAGGAGAGGGGCCCACACCCCCAGGGUCCUACUGCGCCCUACACGACGAAGCACUCUCCUCCUGCAUCUUUGGAAGCCAUGGAAAGGGUAUCUAGGGGCUCUCCCACGUCCCCCAUCCCCGUGAUGUGUUGAGCUUUGCCCACUCAGCCGGGAGCCUGGUUAUGUAACCCGCAAAGGGGGCUCCGGACACGAGCUGGCGGGGCAGAUGUAGGCCCCGGGAGGAGCCGCUGCAGCUCCGGGCUCGGCGGUAACAGCCGCCCCGGCCGCGGUGGAGGCAGAGCCGGGAAGCCGGAACCGGGGCCGGCGGCGUUUCUAAGGCUGGAGCCGCUCCCGAGCUACCGGGGAAGCUGAAAAGCUGAAAUGGAAGGGCUGAGACCCCAGCCGCCCCCGCCGAUCGCCCGCCAGUACGAGAAGAGGAGGUCCUUGCGCCCGCCCAGUGGAGAAAAUUGAUGCUCUGGAAGGAAAUACUCAGAGAAUCGGAUCUAGCGUCUCCUAACGCAGCUUGCAAGCAAGCGAAAGGUUGAUGGUGCAGCUCUGUGCCCAAAGACUGAGAAGACAGGAAAGACAAAAGAAGAAACAGCUAAACUUCCAGGCAUACUCCAGGCAGGGGCUGGAGAAGGACUAACAACUUCCCAAGGAAGAGGCUGACUCUGGAUGGAGCCCUCAGAAAUCAGAAUCCAGGAUUUGGGGCUAUUAAGACACUGAAGCUCCUAACUUUUGAGAAUUUAAUAUGCCUUCAAGCAAAGUCCCUCACAUUUGCUAUCUCUUUGAAUGCUUGCCAAAACUCUUUUUUUUUUUCUUUUUUUUAAAGAGAGAGGGAGAGAGAGAGAGAAAGAAUUUUAAUAUUUUAUUUUUUAGUUAUCGGCGGACACAACAUCUUUGUAUGUGGUGCUGAGGAUCGAACCCGGGCCGCACGCAUGCCAGGCAAACGCGCUACCGCUUGAGCCACAUCCCAGCCCCCUUGCUCCUCUUAAGGAGGAGCAAUGGUAUAAUUCCUUACUUCUAUAGCUGAGGCUCAAAGAAUUGUCAAUUACUUGGCCAAAUUUUACAGCUGUGAAAUAACGGUAACAGGAUUUGAACCCAGACCUUGUAGGAAUCCAGGGCCCAAGGACUGACCACUCUGUAAGCCCCUUGCAGGGCUGUGCCAUACAACCAGAUAAUGGAAAUAUUGUACAUUUGCAAUUGUUUUCUCUAGCCACAUCUUGCUAUUGAGCCCCUGAAAUAUGGAUACUGGGCUUAAAGAAUUAAAAUAUUUAUUUAUUUUUGGUACUGGGAAUUUAACAAAGGAGCACUUUAUCACUAAGCUACAUCCCCAACCCUUUUUCAUUUUUAUUUUGCGAUGGAGUCUCACUAAGUUGCUAAGGCCAGCCUCCCUAGUCACUGGGAUUAUUUGCUUGUACCAUUGCACCUGUCAAGGAAUUGAAUUUUAAAUUGUGCAUGUGUAUGUGAUGUGUGCAUGUUCUGAGGGUUGAACCCAGGGCCUCAGGCAUGCUGAUCGCUGCUCCACCAUUGAUCUACACCUGCAGUCCAAUUUUUAAUUAAAAAAUUAAAACUGCCCCAGAGUGUUUUCCAACAUUUGUCUUAAUGUGCUUACUAAGCUAUAUAUACACAUCAAGGUCUGAUUUGGCUUCCAGGAAACAUUUGUGGAAUGAGUGAAAGGUCCAUACGGGAAAGAAGUUACUAAUAUCAGUAACCCCUGGAAGAGGACAUCUGGUACAAUGUGAGUGCCUAUGAUGUUAGCCUUUAAACCACUUACUCUGAGAGCCUGCCAGGAACAUGGUACUAUAUGGGAGCCUGAAGAUACAAGUGGAUAUUAGACUGGCCCACCUGCCCAAAUCUUUCAAGGACAAAUAAUUGGUGAUGAAGCAGGAAUCCUAAGACCUGGGUAGCCACUUCCAGACAUACAUUCCAGGGACAGACCAGGCCUGGUGACUCACACCUAUAAUCCCAGCUGCUCAGAGGCUGAGGCAGGGGGAUCACACAUUCUAGGCCAGCCUCUAUAACUUAGUGAGACUCCAUCUCAAAAAAAAAAAAAAAGAAGAA